CAGUAGCCGCGGUAAUACGUAGGGUGCGAGCGUUAAUCGGAAUUACUGGGCGUAAAGCGUGCGCAGGCAGUUUGUUAAGACAGAUGUGAAAUCCCCGGGCUCAACCUGGGAACUGCAUUUGUGACUGGCAAGCUAGAGUGUGGCAGAGGGGGGUGGAAUUCCGCGUGUAGCAGUGAAAUGCGUAGAUAUGCGGAGGAACACCGAUGGCGAAGGCAGCCCCCUGGGCCAACACUGACGCUCAUGCACGAAAGCGUGGGGAGCAAACAGGAUUAGAUACCCGCGUAGUCCCUGUCUCUUAUAA
This 301-nucleotide ribosomal RNA is filed under the name uncultured bacterium. RNAcentral describes it as "partial 16S ribosomal RNA". It matches the Rfam family "Bacterial small subunit ribosomal RNA", at positions 509 to 809 of the family's 1533-position model. The record is from RNAcentral.